UCAUUAGCGACUGGCAACAGUACGCAUGCUAACGUUAGCUAACUUGCUGUUAUUGAUAUUAUGAAUUUGUUUGGCACAUGUUGCUAUAGCUAGCUAGCUUACUGCCAGCAUUGCUGGUGUAGCACAUCAUGGCAACGCUGGUGUAGGUUAAUGGUUGCAGUUGGGUUGUUUUUUGUUGGUUUUUGUGUACAUGGCUACUUAAUUCAGUUGUGCUUCUUGUUGAGUGUUUAGUGGCCACUUUCACUGGGCGUCCCGACAGAGAACUUGAAGGGAGGGUGAGAUGCGACCUACAAAGCAUUUGUUUUGGUCUGAGAUAUUGCUGCACAUCUAGUGGCAGUGAGAUCUACAGAACCUUAAAAACUUCUUCUUCUUUUUUCAAGUUUAUCAAUACCUUAUUAAUAAUAUAUUUUGUUUGGCUGAAGAGUUAAGAUUGCGUUUUAGGUAUACUUCAUAGACUGUACGUAAAAAGGUAUAAUUGUAAAAAGACACUAUGACAGCACUAACCAAACAAAACUUUGUGAUCAUGCAAUAAAUAAAAGACAAGUUAAAACAAAUGUAGAUAUUUUUAUGCACUUAGAUGUGCUAGCAAUGUGCUGAAAUAUUUUUGAUAAAAUGCUUCAAGCUCCUGAAACCCUUCCAAGACUGAAAUUAAUCAGGGUGCAAAAUGAUUGCCUCUAAUUUAAAACUGUUGUGUCUCUCAUGAAGAGUUCUUCAAACAUUUCUUCUUUACUUUACUUUUCAUUACCAUGUAGCAAUUCUGAAUUUGUCCUGGACCUUUGCUGGUGGUAUAAAGGUAGUUCAAUAAAUUAAUAUCACACAGCUACAUAUCCAGGCAGCGUCCAAGUAAAUAUUCUUAAGAGGAUUUGUUAGAUAAUGGACCAGAACAGUAUCCAUGACAGGAAUGUAUAACUCCUGGUUAUUUCCCUAUCCUGACAUAACUUAUUCAGCAUCUGCAUCCAUCCACAUAAAUAAUACAUUUACUCAAGUACUGUUCUUCAUUUUGAGGUAUUUGUAUUUUACUUUCAUUUUAUGCGACUAUAUACUUCAAUCUAAGACAUUUCAGACAGAAAUAUCUUUUUACACCUACAUUUAUCUGAAAGAUAUAUUUAUUUGUUACAUGUCAGAUUAAAAUUUUACAUGAAGAAACAAAUGAAAUAAGGUCAUAAAAUACAACAUUAAGAUUAAACUGGUAGCUCACUGGUGGCUUGUGACCCUUUUACUUUUUAUACUUUGUAUACUAACUUUUUUUGUUAUUGCUUUCUACUCAUAUUUAUUAUAUAUAUUAUAUGUAUUUGAAAUAACAGACUUUUACUUGUAACAGAGUAUUUUACAUUUAAAAUACUCUUUUGUAGUAUUGCUAUACUUUUACUUAAAGGAUCUGAAUACUUUUUCCAACACUGGUAGUUAAUAAGAAUACCAGUAUAUUUAGCAAGGCGGUAUUGAUUUCCUGUCUGAUGGUUUUCUGAAAGUGUAGAAAAUCCUGUAUCAUUAUUACAUGGCAAAUGUUUUUAAAUAUUACUUUGAUGAAACAGUAUAACUUUAUCUGGAGUAUUUUCUAAAUAAUGGUGGAAUAACUAGUAAAAGGGAAGCCAAAACUCUGCUCACAAGAUCCAAGAGUGAUGACAAUACGAAUGUGUUCUGUGGAUGUAAAAAAUAGAGCAUUUGUGUUUUUAAUUACAAAUCUUUGUCACUACAACACAAGUAUUUAUAUUGUAACCAAAUAUGUAGAAUAAUACGUUUUGCUUUUGUGGCAAAGCUGGAAUUGUGAUAAUAAUGAACCAAAAACACACUGAAAAUGUGCAACAAGUUACAUGUUUCAGUGCCCUGUCAAAUCUAUUGUAUGUAAACCACUGUCUUACUAAACAAAUAAUUUUACAUAGUUUCUCUAUGUAUAAUCUAAGACAGGACCUACUUUCAGGCUUGAUGUGAAAAAUCUUGAGGUUUCAGAAGCGAUACACCGCCUGUAAACUUGAGAUGUUUCAUCUUGGCCUUUUCUUUACUUCACAUACAAUCAAAUACAAAACACAGUCACUUAUUAUGCCACAACCACUGACUUAAAGGAAAUUAAAGGCAGGUUUAUAGCAGACAGAGUAAAUCAUUACAACAUAACAGCAUCAUCUCAUCUCUCCUGCAUGAAGCUAUACUGUAAGAAAUAUUAUUAUUAUUGUCCCUGAUCUCUGCUGUCUCAAUUAUUAUAUUAUAUUAUGCCCAUUAUUUUAUAGGUUGUGGUUGGAAAUUGAAAGCUCUACCCCAUCAUACUUAGUUGUGUCUUGUCACCGGAAGCAUAUUGCUCCUUUUCUAGUAAGACACCGUGGGGACAUGGUGAAAUGCGUUUUCGCACCCUUGCACCAAAACCCACAAGGGUUUCAUAAACCCCUCAUAUCGUCGUGUGCCCUGUUUUGUUUUUCACAGCAAGUCAGCACAUGUAUAUUUAUCUCAAUGAGGAAUUAGCUGUCUGACAUCAAUCUGCAGAAGUGUACAGGAUGUAGGCUAUGCAUAGCAGUGGGGUAGCAAUCGCAGGCCGUUUUGAUGUCUUUCUGUUAUGGAACAGCAGCGCUUUAAUGUUUGAUCUCCCUUGUCUUUUUCCAAGCCUACAUUAUUUUCAUCUUUGGUUUCUGAAUAUACAACUUGCACUACAGUCAGCACCUUCUGUGAAAGCAACUCAUUUUCAUGGUACAUUGAUAGAAAACCCCUCCUCCCACCCACACACACACACACACACACACACAACACACACACACACACACAGGUUUCAUGUCUACAGCUCUGUCAGAUGUGCAGAAGGCAGGCAGCAGAGACAGGAUGAGUUAAAAGAAGACCACCUCGCAUAUGACACAAUGGAAAUGAGGCUGAAGCAGUUGGCUCUGGUGCUGUUCACAGUGGCAGCAGCAGCUCUGGGGGGAUCAGAUCAACAAUGUGUGAUUGUGGGUACAACGCAAGUAAAAGUUGAUUUGGGUUCCUCUCUGACUUUGUGCUGUCUUUUGUUUAAAGACACAUAUAUAAGAUUUCGGGUGAGCUGGUAUUUUAACCAAGCUGAACCUUCACUGAACAACUCACAGAACAUCUCUGAGACGAUUGCUGGUGAAAAUAUCUCCACCCAAGGAGAAACACACUUGACGUUGCAAAAUGUUAUGCACAAUAAUAGCGGAUGGUACUUUUGCAAAGUCACAUCAGAGAUUCCCUGUCAUACUAUUACUUACAGCAAUGGAACAGAAGUAGUUAUUGAGCUUGGAAAAAACAACGUACCCGUCACUAUUAACGAGUAAACAAGUGACGCAUCAAGAACAAUCCCUACUCCCUUUUGCUUGGUGGGUAUGGAUCGUGUUGGGGGUCUCAGCUUUCAUCCUGAUGGUCCUGCUGAUCACAUAUACCUUGCUGAGAAAAAGAUGCAACAGAAGCGGAGAGGAUCCUGUCUAUAUAAACAUGCGUUGUUCUGGGGCAAACAAACAACCAUCACCUCGGCCCGGGGCGCAAAACAACCACCUGAAGACAUCCCCUUCCUCUGCAGACCUCCAGACCCCGGAUAGAUACGGCGAAGGCAAACGGAGGCAAAAACCGUGAGGAAGUCACGGAGCUUGUUUAUUUAGACACGAUUUAGACUUUUCUCCCAAACUGGACAUUUGUAUCUUAUUUUAUGUAUUUCUUAUCCUGUAAAAUAUAUCUUUCAUUAGCCGCCAGUAGAUGGCAGAAGGUGCACAAGUAAAUUUUUAAAAGUUUUUUUUUUUUCUUGUCUUUUUUUUCUUUUCUUUCUUGUUUCGAAAUCUUAUAUUAUUUGAAUAUUUGAAAAAGUUUCCAGCAGUAGUUUAAUAUGUUAGAUAAUAAAGUGGCAAAUUGUUCUUUUUAGUGUGAAAUAGUGAUGAGACUAAAAUUUUAAUGUUUUGAACUGAAUGUUUUAAAUUAACUGUAUGUUUAUAUUAAAAUUUAAAAUGCUGAAAAAGCAGUUUUUGUUGUACAGUUUGUAAUAUUUACAUUUUAAAUAUGUGAUGGUAGCAUCCACUAAUGGAUCUGAUACAAUUUAAUUUUACAUUUUAAACGUGCGAUUAA
Molecule: RNA transcript, 4044 nt
Organism: Seriola aureovittata
Lineage: Eukaryota; Metazoa; Chordata; Actinopteri; Carangiformes; Carangidae
Exons: 5
Source: RefSeq, a predicted model, not a curated record